AUUGAACGCUGGCGGCAGGCCUAACACAUGCAAGUCGAGCGGAUGAAGGGAGCUUGCUCCUGGAUUCAGCGGCGGACGGGUGAGUAAUGCAUAGGAAUCUGCCUGGUAGUGGGGGAUAACGUCCGGAAACGGGCGCUAAUACCGCAUACGUCCUGAGGGAGAAAGUGGGGGAUCUUCGGACCACACGCUAUCAGAUGAGCCUAGGUCGGAUUAGCUAGUUGGUGGGGUAAAGGCCUACCAAGGCGACGAUCCGUAACUGGUCUGAGAGGAUGAUCAGUCACACUGGAACUGAGACACGGUCCAGACUCCUACGGGAGGCAGCAGUGGGGAAUAUUGGACAAUGGGCGAAAGCCUGAUCCAGCCAUGCCGCGUGUGUGAAGAAGGUCUUCGGAUUGUAAAGCACUUUAAGUUGGGAGGAAGGGCAGUAAGUUAAUACCUUGCUGUUUUGACGUUACCAACAGAAUAAGCACCGGCUAACUUCGUG
Molecule: ribosomal RNA, 484 nt
Filed under: uncultured bacterium
Lineage: Bacteria
Description: partial 16S ribosomal RNA
Rfam family: Bacterial small subunit ribosomal RNA
Source: RNAcentral